UACGUAGGGUGCAAGCGUUAAUCGGAAUUACUGGGCGUAAAGCGUGCGCAGGCGGUGAUGUAAGACAGGUGUGAAAUCCCCGGGCUUAACCUGGGAACUGCGCUUGUAACUGGCAAGCUUGAGUGUGGCAGAGGGGGGUGGAAUUCCGACGUGUAGCAGUGAAAUGCGUAGAGAUGUGGAGGAACACCGAUGGCGAAGGCAGCCCCCUGGGCUAACACUGACGCUCAUGCACGAAAGCGUGGGGAGCAACAGG
This 253-nucleotide ribosomal RNA is filed under the name uncultured bacterium. RNAcentral describes it as "partial 16S ribosomal RNA". It matches the Rfam family "Bacterial small subunit ribosomal RNA", at positions 524 to 775 of the family's 1533-position model. The record is from RNAcentral.